Molecule: ribosomal RNA, 253 nt
Filed under: uncultured bacterium
Lineage: Bacteria
Description: partial 16S ribosomal RNA
Rfam family: Bacterial small subunit ribosomal RNA
Source: RNAcentral
UACGUAGGGGGCUAGCGUUGUCCGGAAUCAUUGGGCGUAAAGCGCGUGUAGGCGGUUCGGUAAGUCUGCCGUGAAAACCCAGGGCUCAACCCUGGGCGUGCGGUGGAUACUGCCGGGCUAGAGGGUGGUAGAGGCGAGAGGAAUUCCCGGUGUAGCGGUGAAAUGCGCAGAUAUCGGGAGGAACACCAACGGCGAAGGCAGCACUCUGGGCUGGAACUGACGCUGAGGAGCGAAAGCGUGGGUAGCAAACAGG